UCCUGGCUUAGGAUGAACGCUAGCGGCAGGCUUAACACAUGCAAGUCGAGGGCAGCGGGUGUAGCAAUACAAUGCCGGCGACGGCGAAGGGUGAGUAACGCGUGAGCAACAUGCCCGAUAGUGGAGGAUAGUCGAUGGAAACGUCGCGUAAUACUCCGUAACAUACGGGACCGCAUGAUUCUGUAUUAAUAGAUUUAUUGCUAUCGGAUUGGCUCGCGUACCAUUAGCUAGUUGGCGGGGUAACGGCCCACCAAGGCGACGAUGGUUAGGGGUUCUGAGAGGAAGGUCCCCCACAUUGGAACUGAGACACGGUCCAGACUCCUACGGGAGGCAGCAGUGAGGAAUAUUGGACAAUGGCCGGAAGGCUGAUCCAGCCAUGCCGCGUGCGGGAAGACGGCCCUAUGGGUUGUAAACCGCUUUUGUUGGGGAGCAAUAAGGGUCACGUGUGGCCUGAUGAGAGUACCCAGCGAAUAAGCAUCGGCUAACUCCGUGCCAGCCGCCGC
Molecule: ribosomal RNA, 503 nt
Filed under: uncultured bacterium
Lineage: Bacteria
Description: bacterial SSU rRNA
Rfam family: Bacterial small subunit ribosomal RNA
Source: RNAcentral